CAAUAGCGUAUAUUAAAGCUGCUGCAGUUAAAAAGCUCGUAGUUGGAUCUUGGUCCGCGGGCGGGCGGAAGUUCUCCGUACGAGUGGGUCUUCGCUGCCCGUCCCGGACUCUCCUCCGGUCCUCUCCCGGUGCUCUUGGUUGAGUGUCGGGGGCGGCCGGAACGUUUACUUUGAAGAAAUUAGAGUGUUCAAAGCAGGCCGCCACGCCUGGAUAGUCCAGCAUGGAAUAAUGGAAUAGGACCUCGGUCCCAUUGCGUUGGUCUUCGGAACGCGAGGUAAUGAUCGAGAGGGACUGACGGGGGCAUUCGUAUUGCGGCGUUAGAGGUGAAAUUCUUGGAUCGUCGCAAGACGGACGACUGCGAAAGCAUUUGCCAAGAAUGUUUUCAUUGAUCAAGAACGAAAGUCGGAGGUUCGAAGACGAUUAGAUACCGU
RNAcentral lists this ribosomal RNA (432 nucleotides) under uncultured eukaryote. RNAcentral's name for it is "SSU rRNA". It matches the Rfam family "Eukaryotic small subunit ribosomal RNA", at positions 592 to 1018 of the family's 1831-position model. The record is from RNAcentral.